GACGAACGCUGGCGGCGUGCUUAACACAUGCAAGUCGAACGGAAAGGCCCUGCUUUUGUGGGGUGCUCGAGUGGCGAACGGGUGAGUAACACGUGAGUAACCUGCCCUUGACUUUGGGAUAACUUCAGGUAACUGGGGCUACUACCGGACAGGAGCUCCUGCUGCAUGGUGGGGGUUGGAAAGUUUCGGCGGUUGGGGAUGGACUCGCGGGUUACGAGCUUGCUGGUGGGGUAGUGGCUUACCAAGGAGUUGGCGGGUAGCCGGCCGGAGAGGGUGACCGGCCACACUGGGACUGAGAGACGGCCCAGGCGCCUACGGGAGGCAGCAGGGGGGAAGAUUGCACAAGGGGCGGAAGCCGGAUGCAGCAGCGCCGCGUGCUGGAUGGCGGCCUUCUGGUUGUAAACCGCUUGCGCCUGUGACGAAGCGUGUGUGACGGUAAUGGGUAAAGUAGCACCGGCUAACUACGUG
RNAcentral lists this ribosomal RNA (468 nucleotides) under uncultured bacterium. RNAcentral describes it as "partial 16S ribosomal RNA". It matches the Rfam family "Bacterial small subunit ribosomal RNA", at positions 28 to 507 of the family's 1533-position model. The record is from RNAcentral.